GACGAACGCUGGCGGCGUGCUUAACACAUGCAAGUCGAACGGAAAGGCCCUGCUUUUGUGGGGUGCUCGAGUGGCGAACGGGUGAGUAACACGUGAGUAACCUGCCCUUGACUUUGGGAUAACUUCAGGAAACUGGGGCUAAUACCGGAUAGGAGCUCCUGCUGCAUGGUGGGGGUUGGAAAGUUUCGGCGGUUGGGGAUGGACUCGCGGCUUAUCAGCUUGUUGGUGGGGUAGUGGCUUACCAAGGCUUUGACGGGUAGCCGGCCUGAGAGGGUGACCGGCCACAUUGGGACUGAGAGACGGCCCAGUCUCCUACGGGAGGCAGCGGUGGGGAAUAUUGCACAAUGGGCGGAAGCCUGAUGCAGCAACGCCGCGUGCGGGAUGACGGCCUUCGGGUUGUAAACCGCUUUCGCCUGUGACGAAGCGUGAGUGACGGUAAUGGGUAAAGAAGCACCGGCUAACUACGUG
This 468-nucleotide ribosomal RNA is filed under the name uncultured bacterium. Its description in RNAcentral is "partial 16S ribosomal RNA". It matches the Rfam family "Bacterial small subunit ribosomal RNA", at positions 28 to 507 of the family's 1533-position model. The record is from RNAcentral.